UUUGAAAAAAGCUGAAAACCUGUAACCAUUGACCUCCAUAGUAUUUGUUUUUCCUACUACUGAAUUAUGGUUAAAGGUUUCCAGCAUUCUUCAAAGUAUCUUCUUUUUUGUU
This 112-nucleotide microRNA precursor is filed under the name Danio rerio (zebrafish). RNAcentral describes it as "miRNA (ENSDARG00000100768.3)". The record is from RNAcentral. Lineage: Eukaryota; Metazoa; Chordata; Actinopteri; Cypriniformes; Danionidae.